CUCUCCCUGUCUGUUCUGCAGCUCAGUCAAGUACAGCCGCCCUCGGAAAGUGCCAAAGCAGCCACGAGACAGAUCCAGGCUUUGUUGCUAAUUUCCCAGGGUGAAAAUUGACAAGCCUGCGAGUGCACUCAGCACAACCCAAUGCAUAUGCUCCUGACAAACGCUGAGGACCAUCCCCUCCCGCCCAUCCCCAUCACACAGAGAAUGUGACCUCUGCGGGACUGGACUCCGGAAGGACCGUCCCUCCUGGACUUACCCACAAGAAGAACUGCGAAAGAGCUCGGGAGGAGAAGGAUGAAAACUUUAAGGAACAAUGAAGGAGAGAGGUGCCGCUCUGAACCGGUGCACUGUGCAGUUCACCUUGGCUUCUGUGUGGAACUCCCUACUCAUCAGAGACUGGAUUUCUCUUCAUUUUCCAGUGUGGAAGACAUAUGUGGCGUCAAUUAUUCCAGGACCCCAGAUCGUUCCACUUUCUCUUUCAAUGUGAACAGGUAUCCUAAGAAGGCCCCCAACCAGUGAAGAUCAAGCCAAGCGUUGGUGGUUGGUGACAAGGGACAAAAAGCAUCUCUUAUGGUGACUAGCUUCUAGAAGCUUCUUGGGACAUGUUAACAAUUACUAUCUUAUGCAAAAAUAUUAAACUUCUUAGCUAAGGGGCAUUCAUCAUGUUAUCGGUCUUCUCAGUUCCUAGACUUCUGUAAAAUUUUGUGAAUUCUUUUAAGGUAAUUAUAUCCUGUAUUGUCUGCUAGACUAAACAUCUGACAAUUCAAAUUUUAACUAAUUUCAUACAGGAAUAAAUGGAAUGUUUUGCUCACUAUAGAUAUUUAUUAACAGGGAUCAAGUUGAUUUGAAUUAAACAAGGAAGUCAGUCUUAAACAUAAUGUUUACAACAUUAAUUUAAGUUGUUGAUAAAGAGAAGAUUCUAUCAUGCUAUUUAAUAUUAUUUGUUUUCAUCAUAUGUAUAAAUGAUAAAUGUAAAAGAUUUCUACAACAUGAUGUAAAGGUUUAUUUUGUCAUCUGUCUUCAUGAAUACAUCCUAAGUUUUUAGAGUCCUAUUCUGGUUCAUCAUCUUCAGCUCUGCCUCAAAGAGUAGCACAUAAUGAGUCCUUCCUAACUGUUUGCUACAGGAAGGGAUAAAUGCAAAAAAUAAUACAUGAUUGGAAAAAU
Molecule: long non-coding RNA, 1164 nt
Organism: Onychomys torridus (southern grasshopper mouse)
Lineage: Eukaryota; Metazoa; Chordata; Mammalia; Rodentia; Cricetidae
Exons: 4
Source: RefSeq, a predicted model, not a curated record